UGCGACGUCUCUCGAAUGUCUAAACGACUCUCGGCAACGGAUAUCUCGGCUCUCGCAUCGAUGAAGAACGUAGCGAAAUGCGAUACUUGGUGUGAAUUGCAGAAUCCCGUGAACCAUCGAGUCUUUGAACGCAAGUUGCGCCCGAAGCCAUUCGGCCGAGGGCACGCCUGCCUGGGCGUCA
This 181-nucleotide ribosomal RNA is filed under the name Lagotis stolonifera. Its description in RNAcentral is "5.8S ribosomal RNA". The stretch from base 26 to 181 matches the Rfam family "5.8S ribosomal RNA". From Rfam's summary of the family: 5.8S ribosomal RNA (5.8S rRNA) is a component of the large subunit of the eukaryotic ribosome. It is transcribed by RNA polymerase I as part of the 45S precursor that also contains 18S and 28S rRNA. The record is from RNAcentral. Lineage: Eukaryota; Viridiplantae; Streptophyta; Magnoliopsida; Lamiales; Plantaginaceae.